Long non-coding RNA from Lacerta agilis (Sand lizard), 603 nucleotides. RefSeq lists it as uncharacterized. The transcript has 3 exons. The record is from RefSeq and is a predicted model, not a curated record. Lineage: Eukaryota; Metazoa; Chordata; Lepidosauria; Squamata; Lacertidae.
UCCUUUCCUCAUCAGAAACUUCAAGCUAGUAGACUACUUGAAAAUACAUUUUUUUGGUAACAAAACCAAUUUCCACCCUUUGUUCCUGAUUCAGUCAUUGUCCCAAAGGCACCUAAGAGUAUUUACUGGUAGUUUUAUAAAUUAUUGACUUUCUCUAGCAAAUUCUUUUGUGCGUGUCCCUAUAAAGUAGUCACAGCACCUGCUAUAUUAAAUUGCUUGAUUGCAGGUCCCUUGCUGAGUGAAGCAAUCCCCCGCAAAGUUUGCUAUAGUUCAUGCUCAUAACAAGGCGACGCGCACUCCCGCCCACCCUUUGGGUUGAAAUGUGCUGCAGCUGGAAAAAGAGGACUUCACUGCUGACUACUGCUACUGCCAAAACUUUGGAAGACAUGGUCCAGUCCAGUGAACUGAAGAUCUUCCAGGAUGUGGUUGUUUCACGCCACUUUUGCUGCACUACAGUGGAAGAGUGCCCCUCCAGGUAGCAGUCAUGCUGGGGAAGCAGCACAGAACAUCUGACAAAGCAGACUGGGGUAUGGAUGGAAGUGGACGGUGAUCCAGAGAAAGACUUGGAACUAAGGAACUGGAAUACACUAUUUCUUGGCUGUU